GUGCCAGGGAGACCCCACUCUGAGCCACAGUUCCGAGGGGAGCGGCGUGUGGCCCCAUCUCGCCACCCCCCACUUCCCCGCCGACAGGACGGCCAUGACAACAGGACAGUGCUGCCACCUGCCAGGCUCUCUGUGCGACUGCACGGGCGGGGCAGACCUGUCGAAGGCCGUGCAGGAGGCCGAUGGCCGACAGGCACGCUACGUCACGCAGGUCACUACCAAGGACGGCCGGCUGCUCUCCACGGUCAUCCGGGCCCUGGGCAUGCAGAGCGACGGACCCAUAUGCCGCAUUUGCCACGAAGGAGGCAACGGCGAGGGGCUGCUCUCCCCCUGCGACUGCACCGGUACGCUGGGCACAGUGCACCGCAGCUGCCUGGAGAAGUGGCUGUCGUCGUCCAACACCAGCUACUGCGAGCUGUGCCACACUGAGUUCAGCGUGGAGCGCAGACCCCGGCCCCUCACAGAGUGGCUCCAGGACCCGGGGCCGAGGAACGAGAAGAGGACGCUCCUCUGCGAUAUGGUCUGCUUCCUCUUCAUCACGCCCCUGGCCGCCAUCUCGGGGUGGCUCUGCCUGCGGGGGGCCCAGGAUCACCUGCACUUCAACAGCCGGCUGGAGGCCGUGGGCCUCAUCGCCCUCACCAUCGCCCUCUUCACCAUCUACGUCCUGUGGACCCUGGUGUCCUUCCGCUACCACUGUCAGCUGUACUCGGAGUGGAGGCGAACCAAUCAGAAGGUCCGGUUACUGAUCCCCGACAUCAAGGCGGAGCAUUCUGCCCAGCAUUCCUUGCUGUCCACGAAGCUCGUGAAGAAGACAGCGGAUGAAACUAUCGUAUGAGCCCCGGGCUCCACUCUAACAGGCAGAGUGGAACAGUUUUUUUUUUUUUUUUUUUUUAAACCGUGUUUCGGCACUUCCUUUUCAUUGACUGUACCGGGCCCCUGGACACGUGCUCUGCCAUGUGCUCUGGAGACCAAGGUGACAAGAACAGUGUAUAGCAGCCCGUGUCCCCUCUGUAAUGUAGUUGUUCUUGUGCUUCCUGUUGUUGCUGUUGCGCUCAGUUCCACAGAUGGACUGGGGGUGGUAGGGGGGUGUGCGUCACUGCAGCAUCACGCCGUGGCGACUCCUCGUCCCCGCAGCUCAGCAUCCCACUGGCUCUCUUGUCAACACGGAGGCCCGUGAGCAGCAGGCCGCGACUCACUCGAACACCGGCAGUCGUUUGGCUGGAGUCUUUGUCGUGCUCUGGACUGAGCAGCGGGCAGAACGCGGUAAAAUGACAGCGGGCUCACCGGAGGCUCACAGGAGCUCCCUAACAGGAUGGUCUGGCUGGGGUGUGUUGUGUGCGGCACUGCAGGACACACCUGCUUCUCAGGAGCCACUUGUCUCUCUCUCUCUCUCACUCUCACUCUCACACACACACACACACACACACACACACACACACACACACACACACACACACACACAGAGUACGCCUCGCUUGUGAGCCAGCGAGUGACUUGGGGAGCAUGACUGGUGUGCCGAAGUCCCUGUCUUUCUCUCUGUUGCGCUUCAUCGUGUGCCGAAGGCCCCGAGUCACCCACGAAUGACCCGACUCUCGCACCCGGAGUCAGCGGCAGCAUCGACGCAGAAGAGCGACGACUGGAAUUCCAACGCGACACUUGUGCUCCGGUACGGAGCGGUUGGUUAUUAGACGCGUCUAGUUGUGUCGCUCUUGCCUCGUCCUUUUGGCUCACAGCAUCAAGGAAGCGCAGAGACCUGCAGGUUGACCAUCCGUACGCCAGGGAACACUCACCUUGCGACCGAGCAAAAAAAGUACCUCUCGUUUGACCGUCGCGACACAACUUGCAACGGUAAUCAUUCCUUCUUCAGCUUUCUGUGCUAUUAGUGUGUUACUUUGAAGUGUUGUAGAGACCUAUGCGUGACGUUGGCCAAGUGUUGCCGAGUCGGCCCGCGAGAGACCCCUGCGUGUGCGCUCAGUGUCCGGGGGCUCCGGUGUGGCUCCGAGCCUCGAGAGAGAGAGAGAGAGAGAGAGAGAGAGAGAUUUGGGCCGGGCUCUUUCUGCAGUCUUGGAUAUAGGAACUUUGUUACGUGCAAUUUGUAAAACUCAUUACGGUGCAAUUCGUUCAGGACGCCGACCUGUAUAAAGGCAUCAUGCCAUAUGUGAUCAAUCCACGUAGUUUAGCCGAAAGAUUGCGGGAAGCAGCGAUGAACCAGGAGCACGGCUCUGCGUUUUCCUCCACGACGCACUAAACUGCUGCGCUGAGCAUCGAGCUCUGUUCCGCAGACCCGUGUGGACGUCCUCUCCUGCGUCCCACGAGACGGUCGCGUGGCGUCAAGCGGCGCCGCGCCGCUUUCCCUGCUCAGUGCUCCUCCGUUUCCUACAGAGGUUUCCAUUCAACUUCUGUCAUGAUGCUUUCGGUGCAGUUUGUUCCACGACUUUCCACACUCCUGUAGAUACGAAUAUAAAAAAAACUGAACAUUUUUCAAAGACAUACAGUAGCUCUUCUGUAAAAUAAAAGGUCAACAGAAUUUGGACAUUGAUGUACAGUGUUUUUUUUUUUUUUUCCCCCUCCUUUUUACGUGUUCAUUUCAUUGUGUUUCUCGCUGUAUGUGAAUUGCCUCAUGCUGUGGGUAUAUUUGUCAGAUAGGCUGGGCUUUGUGGCACCCAUGAGUAAAACGGAGAAUACGCUGCUCACAUUACUCUACUGCGCUAAAGUGAAAUGCGGACAGCGACUCGCAGCUCUUUGGCUCUUCUCUUCUCUUGUUCGCUCUGCCGAGGCUUCGCCGUCUCCGCUCUUGCUCGCAGGCGUAAAACAUCCCCCUUCCACUGGUGCCUCUUUGCGUGCGUUUUGUCGAAGGCUCAGCCAAAGAGCGUUUAUAAAGCCCCGCGUAGCGUGUCGGUGAGCUCUCGGAACGCACUUCAUCACUGCGGGAGCGUUAACGCAAAAUGUGUGUGUGCUGCGCGUCUCGCCGAAAUGGCCUUUCUGAUGUCUGGAGCCGGGUGGCAUAGAACGUGUCCUGUACUUAAUACACGAGUAUUAUUAGUGUUUGCGUUGUUGUUGUUGUUGUU
RNA transcript from Scleropages formosus (Asian bonytongue), 3068 nucleotides. It is a transcript of the gene named E3 ubiquitin-protein ligase MARCH2, with no coding region annotated. The transcript has 5 exons. The record is from RefSeq and is a predicted model, not a curated record. NCBI's taxonomy places the organism in Eukaryota, Metazoa, Chordata, Actinopteri, Osteoglossiformes, Osteoglossidae.